Molecule: transfer-messenger RNA, 384 nt
Filed under: Sulfurimonas sp.
Lineage: Bacteria; Pseudomonadati; Campylobacterota; Epsilonproteobacteria; Campylobacterales; Sulfurimonadaceae
Also listed under: 1 other name
Rfam family: transfer-messenger RNA
About the family: Bacterial tmRNA, also known as 10Sa RNA or SsrA, is named for its dual tRNA and mRNA-like properties. Its role is to liberate the mRNA from a stalled ribosome.
Source: RNAcentral
GGGGCUGACCUGGUUUCGACGGGAUCAAGUAGCUUUUGAUUGCAUGUCGGACUGAGCAACUCCGUUAUACGGCUCAAAAUUGCUUAAACGCAAACAAUACAAAUUAUCGCCCAGCUUUAGCAGUAGCUUAAGUUUAAACCCCUGCACCUAAGCAGUGUAGGCGGGCUGCUUCACCUAUGGACUCUAGAUAAGUAGGAUCUGAAGUAUAACCCCUAUGUAGAUAUACCUUAAGUCUGUCUCAGCUUAAGAUGAACCCUGAGGCUCGUUCUGUGUAGCUUUGCAAGUUGUGUGAAGCAGGAUUAAACUUUAACGACUUUUCUAAGCAUGUAGAGGUCAGGAGUAGCGUGGUUUCGGACUGGAGUUCGAUUCUCCACAGCUCCACCA